This 626-nucleotide long non-coding RNA is filed under the name Trifolium pratense (red clover). RNAcentral's name for it is "long non-coding RNA (TPRA_LNC014023)". The record is from RNAcentral. Lineage: Eukaryota; Viridiplantae; Streptophyta; Magnoliopsida; Fabales; Fabaceae.
AUAUAUUAAGAUUAAAUUGAUUACAUGUUCACAAAAUGACUACAUCUAAUCCCAACAACAAAGGAAUUUAGCUAGACAUGAUAAAAGUAAACUUACAAGAAAAAAGGAUGAAGAACAUCUCUUGAUUUCUCAAGUAUAAUGAUGAAUCCACCUUCAAGAACUCUUAAAACUAAUAUUACUUGUGUCUUUUAACUAUUACAAAAACUAUCUAUCAGAAAAUGGCUUCUGAGCUCUAUUUAUAGACUUUCAGGACAGAGGAAUUCGCUAAGCGAAAUGAUGUUCGCUGAGCGAACUAGUUACUUAAGCAAGGGGUUUCUUGACACGUAGCAAAAGGCUUGACUCAUCACUUUGUUCGCCGAUGCUCGCUAUGUCUCGCUNNNNNNNNNNNNNNNNNNNNNNNNNNNNNUUCGCUGAAUCUCGCUGAAGCUCGCCAUGGACCCUUUGUCCACUGGUUUAGUUCGCUGUAGCUCGCUAUGGCUUCGCUGAGCGAAGGCUUCAAAACCUGCUUUUCUAGCCAUUCCUUACAAAAAUGCCUUGGGAUCAAUUCCUUUUAGAUUUAAUGUUUAUAUUUACACAAAAAGGGGUUUUAAUCAAGAUUUCUUCAAACAAGUAUCGGUAAGUGCUCA